UGUAGUCUGCAACCUGACUACAUGAAGCUGGAAUCGCUAGUAAUCGCAGAUCAGAAUGCUGCGGUGAAUACGUUCCCGGGUCUUGUACACACCGCCCGUCACACCAUGGGAGUCGGAAAUGCCCGAAGCCAGUGACCCAACCUUAAGGAGGGAGCUGUCGAAGGUGGAGCCGGUAACUGAGGUGAAGUCGUAACAAGGUAGC
RNAcentral lists this ribosomal RNA (202 nucleotides) under uncultured bacterium. RNAcentral's name for it is "partial 16S ribosomal RNA". It matches the Rfam family "Bacterial small subunit ribosomal RNA", at positions 1299 to 1500 of the family's 1533-position model. The record is from RNAcentral.